UAGUCCACGCCGUAAACGAUGAGUGCUAGUCGUCGGGAAGCAUGCUUUUCGGUGACGCAGCUAACGCAUUAAGCACUCCGCCUGGGGAGUAUGGUCGCAAGAAUGAAACUCAAAGGAAUUGACGGGGGCCCGCACAAGCGGUGGAGCAUGUGGUUUAAUUCGAUGCAACGCGAAGAACCUUACCAGCCCUUGACAUUUAGCGAACUUAGCAGAGAUGCUUUGGUGCCUUCGGGAACGCUAGGACAGGUGCUGCAUGGUUGUCGUCAGCUCGUGCCGUGAGGUGUUGGGUUAAGUCCCGCAACGAGCGCAACCCCUAUUUUCAGUUGCCAGCACAUAAUGGUGGGGACUCUGGAAAGACUGCCGGGCGUAAGCCGCGAGGAAGGUGGGGGAUGACGUCAAAUCAUCAUGGCCUUUAUGCCUAGGGGCUACACACGUGCUACAAUGGCGGGUACAGA
RNAcentral lists this ribosomal RNA (455 nucleotides) under uncultured bacterium. RNAcentral describes it as "bacterial SSU rRNA". It matches the Rfam family "Bacterial small subunit ribosomal RNA", at positions 791 to 1243 of the family's 1533-position model. The record is from RNAcentral.